RNAcentral lists this ribosomal RNA (253 nucleotides) under uncultured bacterium. Its description in RNAcentral is "partial 16S ribosomal RNA". It matches the Rfam family "Bacterial small subunit ribosomal RNA", at positions 524 to 776 of the family's 1533-position model. The record is from RNAcentral.
UACGAGGGGGGCGAGCGUUGUUCGGAAUUAUUGGGCGUAAAGGGCGCGUAGGCGGCAUGCCAAGCGUGUGGUGAAAGCCCCGGGCUCAACCUGGGAAUUGCAUUUGAGACUGCUCUGCUCGGGUGCGGAAGAGGGAAGCGGAAUUUCCGGUGUAGCGGUGAAAUGCGUAGAUAUCGGAAGGAACACCAGUGGCGAAAGCGGCUUCCUGGUCCGACACCGACGUUCAGGCACGAAAGCGUGGGGAGCAAACAGG